GAUGAAGAACGCAGCGAAACGCGAAAGUUAAUGCGAAUUGCAGAAUCAGUGAGUCAUCGAGUUUUUGAACGCACAUUGCGCCUCUUGGUAUUCCAGGAGGCACGCCUGUUCGAGCGCCAUUACAAACUCCAAGCCGCUGCUUGAUGUUGGACGGUGUCCGGAGAGGGACACGUCUGGAACACGUUGGCGCCGCCGGCGGACCACGAGCGUAGCAAGACGAAAGUCAAUCGUUCGGUUUUGGAUUCCGUCGGUGGCGGCCUGCCGCACCGUGAGGUCGCACGACGUCACGGUGCUCACCCACACAAAGUUUGGCCUCGGAUCAGGCGGGGAUACCCGCUGAACUUAAGCAUAUCAAUAAGCGGAGGA
This 366-nucleotide unclassified non-coding RNA is filed under the name soil metagenome. RNAcentral describes it as "partial contains 5.8S ribosomal RNA, internal transcribed spacer 2, and large subunit ribosomal RNA". The stretch from base 1 to 119 matches the Rfam family "5.8S ribosomal RNA", at positions 35 to 154 of the family's 154-position model. The record is from RNAcentral.